This is a long non-coding RNA of Lemur catta (Ring-tailed lemur), 731 nucleotides long. RefSeq lists it as uncharacterized. NCBI's taxonomy places the organism in Eukaryota, Metazoa, Chordata, Mammalia, Primates, Lemuridae. The transcript is spliced from 3 exons. The record is from RefSeq and is a predicted model, not a curated record.
UUCUGUCCUUCCUCCAUCUCUACCAAAUCCCUGAGCAAGUGGGACUGGGGGGAGGUGAGAGGGUGAGAGGAAGGGGGAGGCAGCAGGCCUGAAACAGUCACAAUGAUGGGGAAAAAAAGAGUUAUUGGGAUGUUUUGUCUUCUAUGUCCCUAGACCCGUGGUCAGAUUUGUUUCUUAUUUGUGUUUCUGUCUAUUAAAUGUACUUUCUCUUAAGCCAGGACAUAGAUUUCUUAACGCUAUCUAUUUAGAAUUUGGCCAACUAUAUUUCUAUGCUACUUUAGACACUCAUUCUAACAAGAAAAUUUUUAAUGCGUUUUGUUGUUGUGAGCUUUCUGAUGACAACCUUUAUUUUGCUUAGAUGCCUCUCUUUUUAUAAUAAAAAGCAGCAGCCAGAUUCUAAGCAAAAAACAAAACAAAAACCAAAAACAACAACAACAACAAAAUGCCGCAGCUACUACGAGGUGAAGGGAAAUUGGGUUUGGGGUAAAAUGGAGCCCUUGCAGACCACAACGACACAAUGACAGGCGAGAGCAGGAGAAGCCGGGAGAUGCGAGAUGCCCCCAGCAGACACUGACGGAGCCCUGAGCGCACACGUGCUGGAUGCCAGUAAAAUCCAAAAUCACCCCAUUGGCUUUGUGACUACAGUCAAAGUGCGACAACAUGUGGCCAGAUAACAUUUUACAAUGCUAUUAUCAAGAUCAGUAAAUUGAGACCCAAAGAUGAGAAGUGAC